UGCUUAACCAUGCAAGUCGAGCGGUAAGGCCCUUCGGGGUACACGAGCGGCGAACGGGUGAGUAACACGUGAGCAACCUGCCCCUGACUCUGGGAUAAGCGGUGGAAACGCCGUCUAAUACCGGAUACGACCCGCCACCUCAUGGUGGAGGGUGGAAAGUUUUUCGGUCAGGGAUGGGCUCGCGGCCUAUCAGCUUGUUGGUGGGGUAACGGCCUACCAAGGCGAUUACGGGUAGCCGGCCUGAGAGGGCGACCGGCCACACUGGGACUGAGACACGGCCCAGACUCCUGCGGGAGGCAGCAGUGGGGAAUAUUGCGCAAUGGGCGAAAGCCUGACGCAGCGACGCCGCGUGGGGGAUGACGGCCUUCGGGUUGUAAACCUCUUUUACCACCAACGCAGGCUCGAAGUUUUCUUCGGGUUGACGGUAGGUGGGGAAUAAGGACCGGCUAACUACGUGCCAGCAGCCGCGGUAAUACGUAGGGUCCGAGCGUUGUCCGGAAUUAUUGGGCGUAAAGAGCUCGUAGGCGGCGUGUCGCGUCUGCUGUGAAAGACCGGGGCUUAACUCCGGUUCUGCAGUGGAUACGGGCAUGCUAGAGGUAGGUAGGGGAGACUGGAAUUCCUGGUGUAGCGGUGAAAUGCGCAGAUAUCAGGAGGAACACCGGUGGCGAAGGCGGGUCUCUGGGCCUUACCUGACGCUGAGGAGCGAAAGCAUGGGGAGCGAACAGGAUUAGAUACCCUGGUAGUCCAUGCCG
RNAcentral lists this ribosomal RNA (752 nucleotides) under Nocardiopsis sp. D21. RNAcentral's name for it is "bacterial SSU rRNA". It matches the Rfam family "Bacterial small subunit ribosomal RNA", at positions 45 to 802 of the family's 1533-position model. The record is from RNAcentral. Lineage: Bacteria; Bacillati; Actinomycetota; Actinomycetes; Streptosporangiales; Nocardiopsidaceae.